UCAAGAAACUUCCACAAUGGGCGAAAGCCUGAUGGAGCGACGUCGCGUGAUGGACGAAGUGCUUCGGCACGUAAACAUCUUUUAUGUGGGAUGAAAUUAUUGACAGUACCACAUGAAUAAGGGGCUCCUAACUCUGUGCCAGCAGGAGCGGUAAUACAGAGGCCCCAAGCGUUAUCCGGAAUCACUGGGCGUAAAGGGUGUCGAGGCGGUUGUAUUAGUCGUUCGUAAAAUCUACGAGCUUAACUUGUAGGCGGCGAACGAAACGGUACGACUUGAGGUUUGGAGAGGUGCGUGGAACUCACGGUGUAGGGGUGAAAUCCGUUGAUAUCGUGGGGAACACCAAAGGCGAAGGCAGCGCACUGGCCAAAUCUGACGCUCACACACGAAAGCUAGGGUAGCGAAGAGGAUUAGAUACCCCCGUAGUCCCUGAGCGGGCUGGCAAGGCGC
RNAcentral lists this ribosomal RNA (447 nucleotides) under uncultured bacterium. RNAcentral's name for it is "bacterial SSU rRNA". It matches the Rfam family "Bacterial small subunit ribosomal RNA", at positions 355 to 823 of the family's 1533-position model. The record is from RNAcentral.